UCAAACUUCAACAAACUUCUUUGAAGUGUUGAGAUUAUGAGUGCCCAUUACUCACACGGUGAUGGCUGCUUUAAAUUUGAAUAUCAACAAGAUUCUUCAGUGACAUUUAGUUGUGCUUGGAAUUUACCCUGAUCUUUCUCUACCCUUAUACCC
RNAcentral lists this unclassified non-coding RNA (153 nucleotides) under uncultured soil eukaryote. RNAcentral describes it as "sequence contains ITS2". The record is from RNAcentral.